This is a long non-coding RNA of Bufo bufo (common toad), 138 nucleotides long. RefSeq lists it as uncharacterized. Lineage: Eukaryota; Metazoa; Chordata; Amphibia; Anura; Bufonidae. The transcript has 3 exons. The record is from RefSeq and is a predicted model, not a curated record.
GCCUGGAUGUGCUGCAGAGCUGGAGUCCAUAGGAGCGCAUACAUGAGGAGGCAGAGCAGAGGGGUUGCCAUCCAGCAGAGCCGGAGGAGACGAGCCCCCCAAAGGGGUUGCCAUCCAGCAGAGCUGGAGGAGACGAGC